Molecule: transfer RNA, 82 nt
Filed under: Chitinivibrionales bacterium
Lineage: Bacteria; Pseudomonadati; Fibrobacterota; Chitinivibrionia; Chitinivibrionales
Description: tRNA-Leu
Rfam family: tRNA
About the family: Transfer RNA (tRNA) molecules are approximately 80 nucleotides in length. Their secondary structure includes four short double-helical elements and three loops (D, anti-codon, and T loops). Further hydrogen bonds mediate the characteristic L-shaped molecular structure. tRNAs have two regions of fundamental functional importance: the anti-codon, which is responsible for specific mRNA codon recognition, and the 3' end, to which the tRNAs corresponding amino acid is attached (by aminoacyl-tRNA synthetases). tRNAs cope with the degeneracy of the genetic code in two manners: having more than one tRNA (with a specific anti-codon) for a particular amino acid; and 'wobble' base-pairing, i.e. permitting non-standard base-pairing at the 3rd anti-codon position.
Source: RNAcentral
GCGAGGAUGGCGGAACUGGUAGACGCGCUAGACUUAGGAUCUAGUAGGGAAACCUGUGGGGGUUCGACUCCCCCUUCUCGCA